RNAcentral lists this ribosomal RNA (310 nucleotides) under uncultured bacterium. RNAcentral describes it as "partial 16S ribosomal RNA". It matches the Rfam family "Bacterial small subunit ribosomal RNA", at positions 503 to 809 of the family's 1533-position model. The record is from RNAcentral.
AAGAGACAGCAGUAGCCACGGUAAUACAGAGGGUGCGAGCGUUAAUCGGAUUUACUGGGCGUAAAGCGUGCGUAGGCGGCUUCUUAAGUCGGAUGUGAAAUCCCUGAGCUUAACUUAGGAAUUGCAUUCGAUACUGGGAAGCUAGAGUAUGGGAGAGGAUGGUAGAAUUCCAGGUGUAGCGGUGAAAUGCGUAGAGAUCUGGAGGAAUACCGAUGGCGAAGGCAGCCAUCUGGCCUAAUACUGACGCUGAGGUACGAAAGCAUGGGGAGCAAACAGGAUUAGAUACCCGCGUAGUCCCUGUCUCUUAUAA